Molecule: long non-coding RNA, 2047 nt
Organism: Columba livia (rock pigeon)
Lineage: Eukaryota; Metazoa; Chordata; Aves; Columbiformes; Columbidae
Exons: 2
Source: RefSeq, a predicted model, not a curated record
AGCGGGGGGCGGCGGCGCUCCGUCGUCGGCAGGUGCCGGCGGCUGGGCCAGGGCGAGGUGCAGCUUGGCGACCAGCAGCAGGGAGAGCAGCCUGAGGAGCAUGCUCGCCUCGCCGUCAGGAGCGGCCACAGUGGUGUCACCGGAUCAUCAUCAGCAGCAGCGGCAGGGUGCAGGUCUGCUGCGACUCGGCACUUUCUCGGGCACCGGUGGGCUCCCUUUCCUUCUUUUGCCCCCUUUUGUUUUGAAGAGAAGGAGGAGAAGGGGAGAGAAGAAAUUCAGGCACCAAAACCCGCCUCGAUCGUCUCCGGUGAGAUGGUUAAAAAGAAAAAAAAAGGAAAAAAAAAAAGGAAAAAAAAAAAGCUCAAGAAGCGGCAAGCGUCCCAGAUUUUUGUAAAAGCCCCCUCCCUGUAUCUUUUCUGUUGUUGUUGUUGUUAUCCCCAGUCUGUCGAUGUGAACAAGAGGAGAAGAGAGAGAAAUGUGAAGAUGAGAGGAGGUGGAACAAUGAAUUUAUAGCGGAAUGCCAUCCUGCAAUGGCAAUUUCAACAAUUCGUCACUGCAGGCUGCCUCUUAAAGGGAGAGCUUCAAAACCACCACUCCCACACUUCCUUCUCAUUUAAUCAGACAGAGGGAGAAACUUGAGGGGAGGGGGAAAAAGGAGAGGGGGCGGCGGGGGGAGGAGAAAAGGAGGGAGAGAGAGCGGGAGAGAGGGAGGCAGGAGAGUGGAAGAGAGGGAGGAAGCCGGGGAGGGGAGAGAGACCGGGAGUAAAAAUGUUUGUGUAUGAAAAACCCAAGAUUUCCCUUGAACCGCUUAAAGCCACAGAGUAACCCGGCGGUUGAGGUGUCACCGCUGGCCGGGGACGGUGAAGCUGCGCUUACCUCGCAUCCUGCCCGCUUCCCCCUCUCUCCUGCCCGGCGCUGCCCUUCAUUUUGCGGUGUUCAGCGGAGGAGGCAGGUUUGCGCUUGGCUUUCGGAGGGAAAGGGGAGCGGCCGCGGCUUUUCCGAGAGUGCCGGUGAUGCUGAUCGCCCAGGGGCAGCGGGAGGGUGGGACGCGCCCCCGCCGCGGCCCCCGCCGUCCCGGCCGAGGGGACGUGGCUUGUCCCUUGCCCCUGCACCUUUCUGGGGUCAGCGGCAGCACCAAACUUCCUCCCUUUGUCUGGGCGGCCGCGGCUCGUCUGCACCCAGCCUGUCAUUAAGUCUCGGCAAGCUGUCAUCUAGUUUGGGCAGACUGUGAUUUCCCCCGAGCCCCCGAGGACGAGGGCGGGCGGGAAGAGUUAAUGCUUGCUUUGACCUUUUGAAUGACUUCAGAUACUUAGAUCAUCUCCUUGCUGACUGACACACACAUUCACUCACCCUGUCCCCUCAUCUUCCUUCCCACUCUUCGUGCUCCGCCGGGGACACCACAGAGGGCACAUGUCUGCAUUUACUUUUUCAUCUGCCCUUUCCACCUUAACGCUGCCCGGAGAGCAAGAGGAGAUUGGCAAGCAGCUCACUCUCUGCCGACAUCAAGGGCUGGAAGGCAGCCUGGGCUCUGGAAAAGUGAGGGGAGCCGGACCCCAGAGGAGUCCAACUCUGCUGGCUUCCCCCCUGCAGAGAUGUGGGACCCAGCAUCGCCAGGUGCUGUCUCUUGCACCAGGUCAAACACGGACACUUUGGGACACAAGUGCUUGUUGUCGUGCAUAUCCUUUCCACGUCCCAAGAUGGGUGCCAGGAACAGGUAAUCUCUGGCUGCAGGACUCCAAAGGGGAUGCAGCUCUCCCAUUUCAUCAUAGCCUGCAAACAGCAUCUCAGCCCGACCACUCUGUCUGCAAUGGAGUGAUGUGCACAUCUGUCAUACUUGGCAGGAUCAGGACCGUGGUGGUCAGCUGCACAGAGAAGGGCAGACCAUCAUCUACCUCCGUAGCUUCCAGAGGCUGCUAUGGGAGUCUAACAAUUCUGUAAAGAAAGGGUUAACUAAUGCCACAAACAUUUCAAAACUUAAUAUUCCCAUGUAAAUUAUUACAUUAACAUAACCCUGAGGUUAUGCUUAUUAAAUAUUUAACGCACCAAA